CUCAAAACAGAACACUAGAGCUGGAAAUGACCUGAGAACACAGAAUGUUUCAGCUUGAAGGGACAGAAGAGAUCAUUUCAUCCAACUCUCUCUCUCCUCUCAAAUUUUACAAAUGAUAAAGAUAUAUGAAAUGGCCAAGGGCAUCCAAACCACCAGAGCUGAGACCAGAAACCACAUUUCCUAAGUUCCAGUCCUGGACAUUUGUUCCCUAUGUUACCAGAUCUAUGCCCACUACUACUAGACCUAUGCCCAAGAAAAGGAAAUAAGAAAUGGAAGGAGAGAGGAAGGAAGAAAAGAAGGGAAAGAAAAUUUUACUGACUUGGAGAAUUCAAUAAAGCAGCUGAGGAAGACUUAAAAUAAUAAUGAUGCCGGAUAUUUCUAGAGCCAAAGACCCAGGAGAGCCUGAAGCACCUUUCCCCCGCAAGAGUAAGCUUAAUUGCCACAACAUGCAUGGCCCAGCAGUGACUGGAAAUCUUUCUCCUCAACACUUCCCAAUUGAAGGGACUUCUGAAGAGAAACCUGAGCAGACUUUACCUCAGCUCCUGUUGCCCAGGGGUGAGUCAACCUGACCUUCUCUCAGGGGGCUCAGGCUGC
RNAcentral lists this long non-coding RNA (594 nucleotides) under Monodelphis domestica (gray short-tailed opossum). Its description in RNAcentral is "lncRNA (ENSMODG00000048873.1)". Lineage: Eukaryota; Metazoa; Chordata; Mammalia; Didelphimorphia; Didelphidae. The record is from RNAcentral.